CUUUAUGUUGGCCGUGUUGUGUAGGAACAUACAUGUCUUGCCUCCGUAGUUUUGAGCAGAACCAAGGGAAAUAGGCAAUGAAUGUUAUAAUCUCAUUUUGCAUUCCUUCUAGCAGAAUUCACAUAUAAUUCUUUGGUAUGCCUCAUAGAUUGUGCAUUUCAGUUAGCAUACAUAAGUCUGUUAUAACACUAUAAUCAAGAUGAUGCCUUUUCAGCUUGCCGUUCUGCUCCAGUUCCCUUUUUCUACUUUCUCAUAUUGCAAGUUCAGUGGUAGGAAGACAUGGGACGAUAGUAUAUUCAUUUUUUCAGAACAAUAUGUGGGCGUGUUGAAUAUUUCUGAAUGAUUUCAAAUUGAUUUGAUUUUAGUUGUAGUAGGAGCUAUUUCGAGAUUUCUAGAGAAUUCACAAUUUGAGCUUUUUUACUUCUUUGAUUACUGUAUUUGUGUGCAUGUUUUCUGCGUGUAUACAACAGUGGCUACAACUCUAAGUUUUCGUUUCAUGAAGAUGCAUCGUAGCAGGUACAAGAGAGAGAGAGAACUACCAGGAUUAACAAAUACUCUGUUACAGUGUUGCUUGCUCUUUUUGCCUUUGCUGAUCACCUCUUUUUGUUUCACUUACGAUUUCUUAUUUCCCCUUUAUUUUUUCUCUUCUUGACUAUUUGCUGAUAACUUGGCUUCACCUUCAAGCUCUAAUUUUUUCUUCCCACGAAGUUUCAAAAUCAAGAAUCAAUUUCUCUCUCUUUUGUUUUUCUUUCAAGAAUUGAAAAGUAUUAUCUUUUCAGGUUUAAAAGAAUUGAUUUUGGGGGCUUUUUGAGUGAUCGUGGGUAGAAGCUUGAGACUACUGGGUGGAGAAGCUUUGUUGCUGAGGUUAUUGGAGGAGUUGAUCGUGCAGAACUUAAUUUGUGAUCUUUAAUAUCGAUCAAUUAUAAAUAUAUUAUUUGUGUUAAUUUCUACAUUUUUUUUAUAAAUUAUAACAUCAAUUAAUACCCGUCGAAUUUCGACGGGUUACACACUAGUUUAGUAUAUACUAGUAUUUGUGCCCUGUGCAAUGCACAUGAAACCUUUUUAUAUUUCUACACCUAUAUGAUGAAAAU
This 1091-nucleotide long non-coding RNA is filed under the name Salvia miltiorrhiza (redroot sage). RNAcentral describes it as "long non-coding RNA (SMIL_LNC002133)". The record is from RNAcentral. Lineage: Eukaryota; Viridiplantae; Streptophyta; Magnoliopsida; Lamiales; Lamiaceae.